RNAcentral lists this ribosomal RNA (1244 nucleotides) under Candidatus Phytoplasma oryzae. RNAcentral's name for it is "bacterial SSU rRNA". It matches the Rfam family "Bacterial small subunit ribosomal RNA", at positions 152 to 1395 of the family's 1533-position model. The record is from RNAcentral. Lineage: Bacteria; Bacillati; Mycoplasmatota; Mollicutes; Acholeplasmatales; Acholeplasmataceae.
GGAAACAGUUGCUAAAACUGGAUAGGAAAUAAAAAGGCAUCUUUUUAUUUUUAAAAGACCUUUUUCGGAAGGUAUGCUUAAAGAGGGGCUUGCGUCACAUUAGUUAGUUGGCAGGGUAAAGGCCUACCAAGACUAUGAUGUGUAGCUGGACUGAGAGGUUGAACAGCCACAUUGGGACUGAGACACGGCCCAAACUCCUACGGGAGGCAGCAGUAGGGAAUUUUCGGCAAUGGAGGAAACUCUGACCGAGCAACGCCGCGUGAACGAUGAAGUAUUUCGGUAUGUAAAGUUCUUUUAUUGAAGAAGAAAAAAUAGUGGAAAAACUAUCUUGACGAUAUUCAAUGAAUAAGCCCCGGCAAACUAUGUGCCAGCAGCCGCGGUAAUACAUAGGGGGCGAGCGUUAUCCGGAAUUAUUGGGCGUAAAGGGUGCGUAGGCGGUUUAAUAAGUCUAUAGUUUAAUUUCAGUGCUUAACACUGUCCUGCUAUAGAAACUAUUAGACUAGAGUGAGAUAGAGGCAAGUGGAAUUCCAUGUGUAGCGGUAAAAUGCGUAAAUAUAUGGAGGAACACCAGAGGCGUAGGCGGCUUGCUGGGUCUUUACUGACGCUGAGGCACGAAAGCGUGGGGAGCAAACAGGAUUAGAUACCCUGGUAGUCCACGCCGUAAACGAUGAGUACUAAGUGUCGGGAUUACUCGGUACUGAAGUUAACACAUUAAGUACUCCGCCUGAGUAGUACGUACGCAAGUAUGAAACUUAAAGGAAUUGACGGGACUCCGCACAAGCGGUGGAUCAUGUUGUUUAAUUCGAAGAUACACGAAAAACCUUACCAGGUCUUGACAUACUCUGCAAAGCUAUAGCAAUAUAGUGGAGGUUAUCAGGGAUACAGGUGGUGCAUGGUUGUCGUCAGCUCGUGUCGUGAGAUGUUAGGUUAAGUCCUAAAACGAGCGCAACCCUUGUCAUUAGUUGCCAGCAUGUCAUGAUGGGCACUUUAAUGAGACUGCCAAUGAAAAAUUGGAGGAAGGUGAGGAUCACGUCAAAUCAUCAUGCCCCUUAUGAUCUGGGCUACAAACGUGAUACAAUGGCUGUUACAAAGAGUAGCUGAAACGCAAGUUUAUAGCCAAUCUCAUAAAAGCAGUCUCAGUUCGGAUUGAAGUCUGCAACUCGACUUCAUGAAGUUGGAAUCGCUAGUAAUCGCGAAUCAGCAUGUCGCGGUGAAUACGUUCUCGGGGUUUGUACACACCGCCC